RNAcentral lists this ribosomal RNA (449 nucleotides) under Macrobrachium lingyunense. RNAcentral describes it as "eukaryotic LSU rRNA". It matches the Rfam family "Eukaryotic large subunit ribosomal RNA", at positions 646 to 931 of the family's 3401-position model. The record is from RNAcentral. Lineage: Eukaryota; Metazoa; Arthropoda; Malacostraca; Decapoda; Palaemonidae.
GACCNGUCUCCAAGCACGGACCAAGGAGUCCAACAUGUGCGCGAGUCUAAGGGUUGUGUAAACCUGGAGGCGAAAUGAAAGUGANCUCCUUUUUGGGGCAGGCNGAUCCCUUGUCAGGAAGUGGNCUGUGCAGGGUUGUUGUAGGUGAUUGAAUUUGCUUGUANCAAUUGAUGUGCAGUUUUUGUUUUUGGCUGUCCUNCUCCCUUUCGGGGGGGUUGGAUUUUGGGCNCAGGCCGAGGACUUGCCAUAGUGCGGCGCGGGCAACGGGUUGCUUUCGGGCUUCCUUAUCCCGAUGUCCGCCGGCAAGUACCUGAGAGCGCAGCCGUUGGGACCCGAAAGAUGGUGAACUAUGCCUGGCGAGGACGAAGCCAGAGGAAACUCUGGUGGAGGUCCGAAGCAGUUCUGACGUGCAAAUCGAUUGUCAGAAGCUGGGUAUAGGGGCGAAAGAG